UACGGAGGUUGCGAGCGUUGUUCGGAAUAACUGGGCGUAAAGGGAGCGCAGGCGGUUGGGUAAGUCUAAAGUGAAAGCCCGGGGCUCAACUCCGGAAGUGCUUUGGAUACUACCUUACUCGAGUUCGUGAGAGGAAAGCGGAAUUCCAGGUGUAGCGGUGAAAUGCGUAGAUAUCUGGAGGAACACCGGUGGCGAAAGCGGCUUUCUGGCACGAUACUGACGCUGAGGCUCGAAAGCGUGGGGAGCAAACAGGAUUAGAUACCCUGGUAGUCCACGCUGUAAACGUUGUGCACUAGGUGUGGGAGGUAUCGACCCCUUCCGUGCCGCAGCUAACGCACUAAGUGCACCGCCUGGGGAGUACGGUCGCAAGACUGAA
Molecule: ribosomal RNA, 376 nt
Filed under: uncultured bacterium
Lineage: Bacteria
Description: bacterial SSU rRNA
Rfam family: Bacterial small subunit ribosomal RNA
Source: RNAcentral